RNAcentral lists this ribosomal RNA (1117 nucleotides) under uncultured bacterium. RNAcentral describes it as "bacterial SSU rRNA". It matches the Rfam family "Bacterial small subunit ribosomal RNA", at positions 353 to 1482 of the family's 1533-position model. The record is from RNAcentral.
AGUGAGGAAUAUUGGUCAAUGGGCGGAAGCCUGAACCAGCCAUCCCGCGUGAAGGAAGAAGGCCUUAUGGGUUGUAAACUUCUUUUCUGUUUGAAGAAUAAGCUUGUCGAGACAAGUGAUGUCGGUAGGACAGGAAUAAGCAUCGGCUAACUCCGUGCCAGCAGUCGCGGUAAUACGGAGGAUGCAAGCGUUAUCCGGAUUUAUUGGGUUUAAAGGGUGCGCAGGUGGUUUAAUAAGUCAGUGGUGAAAGUCUGCCGCUUAACGGUAGGAUUGCCAUUGAUACUGUUGGACUUGAAUAUGGAUGAGGUAGGCGGAAUGUGUAGUGUAGCGGUGAAAUGCUUAGAUAUUACACAGAACACCGAUUGCGAAGGCAGCUUACUAAUCCAUGAUUGACGCUGAGGCACGAAAGCGUGGGGAUCAAACAGGAUUAGAUACCCUGGUAGUCCACGCUGUAAACGAUGAUCACUCGCUGUUUGCGAUAUACAGUAAGUGGCUAAGCGAAAGCGUUAAGUGAUCCACCUGGGGAGUACGAUCGCAAGGUUGAAACUCAAAGGAAUUGACGGGGGCCCGCACAAGCGGAGGAACAUGUGGUUUAAUUCGAUGAUACGCGAGGAACCUUACCUGGGCUUAAAUGGGGAGUGACAGCUGCUGAAAGGUGGUUUUCUUCGGACACUCUUCAAGGUGCUGCAUGGUUGUCGUCAGCUCGUGCCGUGAGGUGUCGGGUUAAGUCCCAUAACGAGCGCAACCCUUACUGUUAGUUGCCAGCGGGUAAAGCCGGGGACUCUAGCGGGACUGCCACCGUAAGGUGAGAGGAAGGUGGGGAUGACGUCAAAUCAGCACGGCCCUUAUGUCCAGGGCUACACACGUGUUACAAUGGCCGGUACAAAGGGCAGCUACACUGCGAAGUGAUGCUAAUCUCGAAAGCCGGUCCCAGUUCGGAUCGAAGUCUGCAACCCGACUUCGUGAAGUUGGAUUCGCUAGUAAUCGCGCAUCAGCCAUGGCGCGGUGAAUACGUUCCCGGGCCUUGUACACACCGCCCGUCAAGCCAUGGGAGCCGGGGGUACCUGAAGUCUGCAACCGCAAGGAGCGGCCUAGGGUAAAACUGGUGACUGGGGCU